AAAAAACAAAAGUGAGAUAUUAUUCUGAGGGGAAAAAAAAUUCACACUCAGUCAUAAUAUAACCAACACUCAGUCCUACUACAAAUGCAACCAUCUACUAGGAAAUCAUAGAAUGGAGUAUGCCAAGUGGCUUACUUUGGUUGAAAUUAAUUGCUGGAUUUCACAAGUUUGGUAUGUUCCUUUAUAUUGCAUGACCAACACUCACAAACCAAGGCCCAAAUUGGAUAGGGGCAGAUCCAGAUUUUAUUCUUUUUUUUAACAAUAAAAAUACCUACCG
RNAcentral lists this unclassified non-coding RNA (277 nucleotides) under Hevea brasiliensis (rubber tree). Lineage: Eukaryota; Viridiplantae; Streptophyta; Magnoliopsida; Malpighiales; Euphorbiaceae. The record is from RNAcentral.